AGAGUUUGUAUCCUGGCUCAGAACGAACGCUGGCGGCAGGCUUAACACAUGCAAGUCGAGCGCACCUUUUAGGUGAGCGGCAGACGGGUGAGUAAUGCGUGGGAACCUACCUUACUACGGAAUAACACAGAGAAAUUUGUGCUAAUACCGUAUACGUCCGAGAGGAGAAAGAUUUAUCGGUGAAGGAUGGGCCCAUGUUGGAUUAGCUAGUUGGUAGGGUAACGGCCUACCAAGGCGACGAUCCAUAGCUGGUCUGAGAGGAUGAUCAGCCACACUGGGACUGAGACACGGCCCAGACUCCUACGGGAGGCAGCAGUGGGGAAUAUUGGACAAUGGGCGCAAGCCUGAUCCAGCCAUGCCGCGUGAGUGAUGAAGGCCUUAGGGUUGUAAAGCUCUUUCACCGGUGAAGAUAAUGACGGUAACCGGAGAAGAAGCCCCGGCUAACUUCCGUG
This 452-nucleotide ribosomal RNA is filed under the name uncultured Hyphomicrobiales bacterium. Its description in RNAcentral is "bacterial SSU rRNA". It matches the Rfam family "Bacterial small subunit ribosomal RNA", at positions 8 to 507 of the family's 1533-position model. The record is from RNAcentral. Lineage: Bacteria; Pseudomonadati; Pseudomonadota; Alphaproteobacteria; Hyphomicrobiales.